RNAcentral lists this ribosomal RNA (301 nucleotides) under uncultured bacterium. RNAcentral describes it as "partial 16S ribosomal RNA". It matches the Rfam family "Bacterial small subunit ribosomal RNA", at positions 509 to 807 of the family's 1533-position model. The record is from RNAcentral.
CAGCAGCCACGGGAAUACGUAGGUGGCAAGCGUUGUCCGGAAUUAUUGGGCGUAAAGGGCUCGCAGGCGGUUUCUUAAGUCUGAUGUGAAAGCCCCCGGCUCAACCGGGGAGGGUCAUUGGAAACUGGGAAACUUGAGUGCAGAAGAGGAGAGUGGGAUUCCACGUGUAGCGGUGAAAUGCGUAGAGAUGUGGAGGAACACCAGUGGCGAAGGCGACUCUCUGGUCUGUAACUGACGCUGAGGAGCGAAAGCGUGGGGAGCGAACAGGAUUAGAUACCCCGGUAGUCCCUGUCUCUUAUAC